RNAcentral lists this ribosomal RNA (1883 nucleotides) under human gut metagenome. RNAcentral's name for it is "bacterial LSU rRNA". It matches the Rfam family "Bacterial large subunit ribosomal RNA", at positions 3 to 1980 of the family's 2925-position model. The record is from RNAcentral.
UCAAGCUGAAAAGAGCGCAAGGGGAAUGCCUUGGCAUCAGGAGCCGACGAAGGACGUGACAAGCUGCGAUAAGCCACGGGGAGGAGCAAAUAUCCGUUAUAUCCGUGGAUUUCCGAAUGGGGGAACCCGCUCAAGCAAUACUUGAGCAUCGUGCGUUGAAUCAAAUAGGCGUACGAAGGGAACGGCCUGAACUGAAACAUCUAAGUAGGGCCAGGAAAAGACAUCAACCGAGAUUCCGCUAGUAGUGGCGAGCGAACGCGGAGGAGGCCAAACCGAGGGACGCAAGUUCUUCGGGGUUGCGGACAGACAUCAUGACCAGAGGAAGUUAGGAGAACGGCGUGGGAAAGCCGGCCAUAGAAGGUGAGAGCCCUGUAUCUGAAAAUGAAGACUGGCAGUCUGGAUCCAGAGUACCGCGGGACACGUGAAACCCCGUGGGAAACAGGGGGGACCACCCUCCAAGCCUAAAUACUACCUGAUGACCGAUAGAGGAGCAGUACCGUGAGGGAAAGGUGAAAAGGACCCCGGGAGGGGAGUGAAAGAGAACCUGAAACCUUGUGCCUACAAGCACAUAGAGCCCGUCAAAGGGUGAUAUGGUACUUUUUGUAGAACGGUCCGGCGAGCGAUUGUACGUUGCGAGCUUAAGGUCUUAAGGACUGGAGGCGUAGCGAGAGCGAGUCUAAACAGGGCGUUUAGUAGCGUGCAAUGGGCCCGAAACCGGGUGACCUACCCAUGAUCAGGCUGAAGUGAAAGUAAAAUUUCAUGGAGGGCCGAACCGACCUCCGUUGAAAAGGCGGCGGAUGAAUUGUGGGUAGCGGAGAAAUUCCAAUCGAACUCGGAGAUAGCUGGUUCUCCCCGAAAUAGCUUUAGGGCUAGCCUCAUGUUAGAUAUCCGGAGGUAAAGCACUGAAUGGCCUAGCGUCCGAGAGGAUAGCGAAGCCUAUCAAACUAAGAAUGCCGGAAUAUUGAUGCAUGGGAGUCAGACAGUGUGAGAUAAAUCUCAUUGUCAAAAGGGAAACAGCCCAGAUCUACAGCUAAGGUCCCAAAUUGUAUCUAAGUGGAAAACGAUGUGGAAAUACGCAGACAACCAGGAUGUUGGCUCAGAAGCAGCCACUCAUUUAAAGAGUGCGUAAUAGCUCACUGGUCGAGCGUCUCUGCGCGGAAAAUUUAACGGGGCUAAGAUACAAACCGAAGCUUAGGCUGCACUUUUAGUGCGGGGUAGGGGAGCGUUGUGUAAGCGGAGAAACAGUAGCGAAAGCGGCUGUGGAGUUUACAGAAGUGAGAAUGCCGGAAUGAGUAGCGCGAAUGAUGUGAGAAUCAUCAUGGCCGGAAACCUCAGGUUUUUGGAGGAAGGUUCGUCCGCUCCAAGUUAGGCGGGAGCUAAGGUGAGGCCGAAAGGCGUAGCCGAUGCACAGACGGUAGAGAUUCCGUCACCACCAAAAGAGUUAAGCACAGGGACACAUUUGAAGUCUCAGAGCCGGGUGUUGGUUCCGGUAGAGAUCGAGGGAAGUUAGUACCGAAGUCUGGGAUGGAAGAUGGCGAGAAAAGCUGUGUGUAUUUCUGAGGUGCCCGUACCGCAAACCGACACAGGUAGGUAGGAAGAAGAUUCUAAGGCCAACGGGAGAAGGGUUGUUAAGGAACUCGGCAAAUUGACCCCGUAACUUCGGGAGAAGGGGUGCUCCAGAGAUGGAGCCGCAGAGAAUCGGCCCAAGCAACUGUUUACCAAAAACACAGGUUUGUGCUAAAUCGAAAGAUGACGUAUACGAGCUGACGCCUGCCCGGUGCUGGAAGGUUAAGAGGAGAUGUGCAAGCAUUGAAUCGAAGCCCCAGUGAACGGCGGCCGUAACUAUAACGGUCCUAAGGUAGCGAAAUUCCUUGUCAGGUAAG